Molecule: ribosomal RNA, 497 nt
Filed under: uncultured bacterium
Lineage: Bacteria
Description: partial 16S ribosomal RNA
Rfam family: Bacterial small subunit ribosomal RNA
Source: RNAcentral
GAUGAACGCUGGCGGCGUGCCUAAUACAUGCAAGUCGAGCGAACAGACGAGGAGCUUGCUCCUCUGACGUUAGCGGCGGACGGGUGAGUAACACGUGGAUAACCUACCUAUAAGACUGGGAUAACUUCGGGAAACCGGAGCUAAUACCGGAUAAUAUAUUGAACCGCAUGGUUCAAUAGUGAAAGACGGUUUUGCUGUCACUUAUAGAUGGAUCCGCGCCGCAUUAGCUAGUUGGUAAGGUAACGGCUUACCAAGGCGACGAUGCGUAGCCGACCUGAGAGGGUGAUCGGCCACAUUGGAACUGAGACACGGUCAAGACUCCUACGGGAGGCAGCAGUAGGGAAUGUUCCGCAAUGGGCGAAAGCCUGACGGAGCAACGCCGCGUGAGUGAUGAAGGUCUUCGGAUCGUAAAACUCUGUUAUUAGGGAAGAACAAAUGUGUAAGUAACUAUGCACGUCUUGACGGUACCUAAUCAGAAAGCCACGGCUAACUACGUG